GGUGGGCGUGACCCAUGUGGUGGUGUCCUACCUGCCCAAGAUGGCUGCCUGCGAGCUGCUGAAGGUGGUCUACUGCCUGAGUCUGCUGGGCCACUUCCCCGCCGCCCCACUAGAACAGCUGCUGCAGCAGGAGACACUGGAGGAGAUCAGUGCCAGAGGUGGGCGGCUGCAGAAGGGGAUGGCUGCAGAUAGUGGACCUGUGUCUCAGGCUGGACCGACCUUCUCUCCCUAAGCCCCUGACCGUCCCUCCCGAGGCACUGGGCUCUCCAGCCCCUAACGACGUGUCCAUUAACCCAGGGCUGUCUAUGACCCUGCAGARCAUCACCCAGGAGUGCUGCUACAGGAGGGUGUGAUGGUCAAAGACCUAUACUUCAUAGAAUUGCAGUAUUCUGCGUACCCCCGAUCUCUUUCUGUUAUGGUAGCUCCCGUCCCCAUGGCAACCUGGCUAUCAAGAUGCGUCAUUUGGCGAUCCUAGGAUACACCCCAGUCGUGGUGUCGGAGCACGGGCUGGACUAUCUGUCCGAGGAGGAGAGGACAGAGCUCCUCAGAACACGGAUCUUUCCAGAACAGGAGAGACCUGAUAAAGUCGAUCAAAUGACAGACAGACGGACAUGGAGAGAGGGGGGACAUGGCUCAUUCAGUCAAGAGAACCUCGGCCUGGUUCUGUGGUCAGUCUUGUCACGAUCCGGUCCUGUCAUUCGUUGCACAGGAACUGCUGGUAUACUGAAUUGACUACAUGAGGACUGUUGUCGAAAAUAUCUCUGUGUGAGUGUCUGGACUAUACAGUUAACUGCAUAAUGUCUCACUAUUUAACUAGAAAGUAAAUGGGAACCAACUCCCAUCUGUGUCAUUGAUCCUCGUAUUUGUGAGGGAAUCUGUGUUGGAGCGUAAAUGUUCCAGUUUAAGUAAGUUAAAUCCUGUUGAAGUAACUUUAAAGUUAAGUAACAUAAAUUUAAACAUCUUAAUACCUCGCAUGGGUUAUUCCUAAAUAGUCUAAAUUCAUAUCCUCACCUCCCCUCCUUCAUCUGCACUGAUCUGCAAGAACUGACCAGCCUAAUCAGUGCAGAUGAAGGAAAGGAGAUGAGGAGAAGAAGCUACUCUAGACUAUUGAGGCAGAGAGCCAUGUUUCUACUGGGUUUGUGUGUCUCGUUUAGAAUAAGUUGUCACUUGAGAUGAAUCUGUGGCCUUGCCAAAAGUGAGGCCCAAUCCUAAAUGGACCCCUAGACCUUACACCCUGUGGAGAUUGGAUAUGAUUUGAUGGGUUUAAGGAAUAACGUGAAACUUCAACCUAGCCUACCAGAGGGCCAGUUGGAAUGAAUUACCAAAUUGCUUACACCCGUUAAAUCCUCUUAGAUCUCAAGUGCAUAGGGUGAGGGUCUAGGGGUUGAUUUGGGAUUGGGCCUGAAAUUGUUCAGAUUGAUGCCAUUGAAAUGUGUUGAGUAGAGGUGGUUAUGCGAACUGAUGUUAUAAUAAAAAUUGCCUUAUAAUCAUGACUGUCACUUAAACUGAAAAUAGAAUGUCAUAGAAGCAGUCUUCCACUAUAUAC
Salvelinus sp. IW2-2015 is the source of this 1546-nucleotide long non-coding RNA. RefSeq lists it as uncharacterized. The transcript has 4 exons. The record is from RefSeq and is a predicted model, not a curated record. NCBI's taxonomy places the organism in Eukaryota, Metazoa, Chordata, Actinopteri, Salmoniformes, Salmonidae.